GUCGUGAAGAGGGAAACAACCCAGACCGCCAGCUAAGGUCCCAAAGUCAUGGUUAAGUGGGAAACGAUGUGGGAAGGCCCAGACAGCCAGGAUGUUGGCUUAGAAGCAGCCAUCAUUUAAAGAAAGCGUAAUAGCUCACUGGUCGAGUCGGCCUGCGCGGAAGAUGUAACGGGGCUAAACCAUGCACCGAAGCUGCGGCAGCGACGCUGAUGCGUUGUUGGGUAGGGGAGCGUUCUGUAAGCCUGCGAAGGUGGCCUGUGAGGGUUGCUGGAGGUAUCAGAAGUGCGAAUGCUGACAUAAGUAACGAUAAAGCGGGUGAAAAGCCCGCUCGCCGGAAGACCAAGGGUUCCUGUCCAACGUUAAUCGGGGCAGGGUGAGUCGACCCCUAAGGCGAGGCCGAAAGGCGUAGUCGAUGGGAAACGGGUUAAUAUUCCCGUACUUGGUGUUACUGCGAAGGGGGGACGGAGAAGGCUAUGUUGGCCGGGCGACGGUUGUCCCGGUUUAAGCGUGUAGGUGUGUGUUCCAGGUAAAUCCGGUU
RNAcentral lists this ribosomal RNA (538 nucleotides) under Salmonella enterica. Its description in RNAcentral is "partial 23S ribosomal RNA". It matches the Rfam family "Bacterial large subunit ribosomal RNA", at positions 1007 to 1547 of the family's 2925-position model. Lineage: Bacteria; Pseudomonadati; Pseudomonadota; Gammaproteobacteria; Enterobacterales; Enterobacteriaceae. The record is from RNAcentral.